This 384-nucleotide unclassified non-coding RNA is filed under the name soil metagenome. RNAcentral's name for it is "partial contains 5.8S ribosomal RNA, internal transcribed spacer 2, and large subunit ribosomal RNA". The stretch from base 1 to 120 matches the Rfam family "5.8S ribosomal RNA", at positions 35 to 154 of the family's 154-position model. The record is from RNAcentral.
GAUGAAGAACGCAGCGAAAUGCGAUAGGUAAUGUGAAUUGCAGAAUUCAGUGAAUCAUCGAAUCUUUGAACGCACAUUGCGCCCUUUGGUAUUCCUUAGGGCAUGCCUGUUCGAGCGUCACUACACACCUUAUCACAAUAUUUGUGGUCUUGGCAGGAGUGGAUUGCUGGUCUAUGGAAGUAUUCCAGCAGUACACAAUGCUAAAAAAUAUGGGAAGGUUACCAGAUAUGAACAACAGACUUUGUAAAUGGUUGUAGGACCUAGAUCAGUCACAAGUCAUGUCUGGUCCCUUACCUUAAGGACCCCCAUCCUAGAUGAACUAUGGGUUGACCUCGGAUCAGGUAGGAAUACCCGCUGAACUUAAGCAUAUCAAUAAGCGGAGGA